RNAcentral lists this long non-coding RNA (460 nucleotides) under Numida meleagris (helmeted guineafowl). Its description in RNAcentral is "lncRNA (ENSNMEG00000010566.1)". The record is from RNAcentral. Lineage: Eukaryota; Metazoa; Chordata; Aves; Galliformes; Numididae.
UAAAGUAACAUUUUUUUUGUAAUUUUUUUGUAAUUUUUUUUCAGAGCUUGUGGGGGACAUUGUAGCAAGAAUGGAGCUUUUCUAAUGGAAGAUGAUUUGCUCUUCUGAUGAAAAUAUUUUCUAGCUCAUCUCAUUUGAAAUGAAUGUUUGUUAACAGCUUACAGAGACAACUUUUGUUCUUGUGCGGUCAGGAGCUCAAGUGACUCCACUGAAACCCUGGCAUUUAUCACAGACAAAAUUAGGUCAGAAGAGAGCACAGAGGUACUGAACUGAAAAGAGAUAAAUUCAUCCUUAGAAGGAAAAGAAUGGCUCGAGCUGCAAACUUGGGUUUAAUUUGUCUCCUCCACAUAAGGACUCCAGUACUUGCAUUCUGGUGACUACCAGCAUAGUAAUGAACCUGGUAUAUAGGAUGAAGCCCUGUACCACAGUAAGGAGUGAUGAGGGGAAACCUAAGAGUGAU